UGCGUAGGCGGAAUGAUAAGUUAGGGGUGAAAGCCCCCGGCUCAACCGGGGAACUGCCAUUAAUACUGUCAUUCUUGAGUAUAGUUGAAGUGGGCGGAAUGUAUCAUGUAGCGGUGAAAUGCUUAGAUAUGAUACAGAACACCGAUAGCGUAGGCAGCUUGCUAAACUAUAACUGACGCUCAGGCACGAAAGCGUGGGGAGCAAACAGGAUUAGAUACCCUGGUCGUCC
RNAcentral lists this ribosomal RNA (229 nucleotides) under uncultured bacterium. RNAcentral's name for it is "partial 16S ribosomal RNA". It matches the Rfam family "Bacterial small subunit ribosomal RNA", at positions 568 to 796 of the family's 1533-position model. The record is from RNAcentral.